CCUACGGGUGGCAGCAGUGGGGAAUAUUGCACAAUGGGGGAAACCCUGAUGCAGCGACGCCGCGUGAAGGAAGAAGGAUUUCGGUAUGUAAACUUCUAUCAGCAGGGAAGAAAAUGACGGUACCUGACUACGAAGCCCCGGCUAACUCCGUGCCAGCAGCCGCGGUAAUACGUAGGGGGAACGCGUUAUCUGGAAUUACUGGGUGUAAAGGGAGCGUAGGAGGUUUAGCAAGUCGGAAGUGAAAGCCCGGGGCUCAACUCCGGGACUGCUUUUGAAACUGGUGGACUAGAGUGCAGGAGAGGUAAGUGGAAGUCCAAGUGUAGCGGUGAAAUGCGUAGAUAUUAGGAGGAACACCAGUGGCGAAGGCGGCAUACUGGACUGAAAAUGACGCUGAGGCUCGAAAGCGUGGGGAGCAAACAGGAUUAGAUACCCUAGUAGUC
This 440-nucleotide ribosomal RNA is filed under the name uncultured bacterium. RNAcentral describes it as "partial 16S ribosomal RNA". It matches the Rfam family "Bacterial small subunit ribosomal RNA", at positions 338 to 795 of the family's 1533-position model. The record is from RNAcentral.